UAAGAGCUAGUUUAUUAAGAACGAUAGGUUGUGGGUCUAUUAGAACAAAUACAGUUUGUGCUUUUAA
Molecule: transfer RNA, 67 nt
Filed under: Brachidontes mutabilis
Lineage: Eukaryota; Metazoa; Mollusca; Bivalvia; Mytilida; Mytilidae
Description: tRNA-His
Source: RNAcentral